Molecule: long non-coding RNA, 938 nt
Organism: Lingula anatina
Lineage: Eukaryota; Metazoa; Brachiopoda; Lingulata; Lingulida; Lingulidae
Source: RefSeq, a predicted model, not a curated record
AUGUUGAACAAAUAUUGCACCACACUGACAAGUACAGAGACACACUGAUAGAUCAAAUCCAUCUCAAAAAGGGAAAAAAUUUAACUUCAUAGCAAGGACCACUUCGACGACACUCAAACAUGUCGGACCGUUAUUCCAGCAGCAUGCCUAAAACCCAUGGAGAACAGGAGAAGGAGAAAUGGAAGAAUGAGAAGGACAAGAAGGAGGAAAUAAGACGGAACAUGAAGAAAAAUGUUCGGGCAAACCGCCAGGACCCGCACGCGCGUCGUCGCUCCAGCAGCGGUUCUUCAAGCGGGGGGUUUGGAGUCUUUGACUAGUCAAGGACAACGGCGUCAUUGAGACCCUGACGGGAAACUGAUUGAGGCUUUCAGUUUCGAAAUUUAUGAAAACUACAUGUAUUACUUGAUAGUUUCAAGAAGUUUAUCUAGGUUGAGGACAACCGUCUGUGGGUGUAUUUGAUCUGUAGAUUUUGACAGCAAACUUUGCAUCUGUAUUGCUUUGUGUUAGGGUAUCCUGUGUGAUUUUAAUGUAGAAAUAUAUGUUAACAAAGAACAACAAACAUAAACAACCAUUUCAUUUUUGGUCGGCAUCGUUUGAUGUCAAAGACCACCAUCUGACUAGAAGUCAAACUAUAUCAGUGUAGAGGAAAUUGACAGUCUGUUUCUCCAAGAAUUCAACGUUGGGCUUUCAACCCCAGCAAACAGGCGACAUGAACAAGCGUGUUGGUAUUCCAGAACACGUCCUAGUGCAGCGGGACUUUGCUUUGUCUCUCCUAGACUGUGACAUUCGAUUAUCUUGCUUGUUAAUGAGUAUAACAUAUUAUAAGCUUAAUUAACGUAAGGUCCCCUUGGGAGCCCAAAUGAUUCGUUUCUGUACAAUGUAGGUGUGGUGUGGUGUGGCUAGGCCAAAAAAUUAAAAAAAAACUUUUAAAAACUUUA